Molecule: long non-coding RNA, 5056 nt
Filed under: Sus scrofa (pig)
Lineage: Eukaryota; Metazoa; Chordata; Mammalia; Artiodactyla; Suidae
Description: lncRNA (ENSSSCG00060036549.1)
Source: RNAcentral
CACAGGCAGAGAGAACUGUGGAGAGAGAGACUGUGAAAACACAGACAUGAAUAAAUUGCAUUCAAGGCCUGUACCAAAGUCUGGAAGAGAAGUGGAAUACACACGGACUUUGUGCACAGACAGGUGGCAGCAGGAGAGGGAAAAACAGAGUGGACAUUGCAUGACGACGUCAGCGUGUUUACAAGGGUACUCAGAGCAAACAGUCCAUCCUUUUGGACUCAGUGAUCCUUUAGGUUGAAGGGUAUUUUCAUAGGAUAGAAAUCUAGGUUGACAGUUGCUUCUUUUUCUUUCCGCACAUUUAGACCUUGCAUUUUGGUCGCCUGACCUCCAUGAUUCCUGAUGAGAAAUCAGCGGUAAUUUGUAUGAAAUUUCUUAUGUUCUAAUGUGUCUUUUUUCUGUGGUUACUUUUCAGUUUUUUAAGUUUCUUAUUUUUAAAAAUUUCAUUAAGCUGUGAGAGAUAUGCACUUACCCUACGUGGGAUUUAUUGAGCUUCUUGGAUAUGCGGUUUUGUAGUUUUCAUCAGAGGUGGAAACUUUUUGACAUUUUGAGUCACCAUUUUUUUUUUUUCCGUUUUCAGAGACUCUGAUUCCAAGUAUAUUUGACCCUUGACAUUAUCUCACUGGUCCCUUUUAGGAACUAUUCCAUUUUUUCAGCCUCGUUUCUCUCAUUUCCUCGAUAUUUGACAUUGCUCUGUCUUUAUAGAAAUUUUCAGUGAUUUUUUUUCUUCCUCAGUGUCUAAUUUUUGUCAGGCUUAUUGUGAAAUUUUCUUAAACAGUAAUUCCAUUUUUUAUCCUUGACAUUAUUCUCUUCACAAUUUUUUUUUAAGUAUAUGAACAUAUUUAAAGAACCUGGAUUGAAGUUCUUUUCUGAAAAUUAAUCUCCGUGGUUUGGGGUCUGCUUUUUUACUGAUUUUUCUCCUGUUGGCACGUCUUCCUCCUCUUUCAGAUGUCUGCUAAUGAUGUAUUGAUACUGAACAUUUUGAAUUUUGUGAUGUGAGGUCUCGGGGCUUUGGAAGUCUUCCUUUAAUGAAGGUGGAUGGAGUUGGUCUUCGCCGGCAGUUAUUUGAGUAUCAGGUUUGUCUUUAAAGCCUGUUAUGUAACUUCGUUAUGGGGACGGAGAACAGCCUUAAUUACCAAGAUGCAGAGACUCCUAAAGUCUCAGGAAUUCUCAGGGCGUUCAUUAAAGCUUUUCUAUUGUGGGUGUUAAGUACUCGAACGUCCCUUAGCCCCGUGUGGGUCUGAAAAUUAAUGCAUAGCUCGUGCCUGGCAGCCUUUGUCUGUACUCCUGGAGUUUCAUCCUGUGUGUCAGCUGCUUGGCCUUCAGCCAGACUCAAAGCUACCCUCAUGUGAAUUUCUUGAGCUCUCUCUCUCUUUCUCUCUCUCCCUCGUAGUUUGUCUUGCAGACUUCAGCCCUCGUGCUCUCACUGAAUGCAGAUCACUUUCCUCAACUUCAAAGAGUACUUUUUGCUCUAUUUGAGUACCUCCGUAAACAUCUCAGUCUCUGAAUAAGACUUAGAUUUUCUUCCUGCACUAAAGUCUUUGAAGAAGGCGGUGGACGUUGUAUGGCUCGUUUUGUCUGUCACUCUUCUGUUAAGAAUCACAGGUGUCGAUUUGACCCCUAGCCUGGGAACCUCCAUAUUCCACUGGUACGACUCUAAAAAAAAGCAAAUAAGUAAAUAAAUAAAUAAAUAAAUCACGGGUCUAGGUUGCCCAUUUUCAGGGUCUGAAAAAAGUUGUAUUAUAUAUUUUUCCAGUUUUCAAGUUGUUUAUGGCAAGAAUUGUGUUGUAUCAGUUAACCCAUCUUUUACACACACACACACACACACACACACACAAUAUACUUAUCAUAUGUGUAUAUCCUAUUAUCUUAUUGAAUGCUAUUGUUGCUAUUAUUGCUCAUAGAAUUACUCAUAGUUUUUCAAUUUUUCUAAGUGUUCAACAGAUUUUUUAUAAAUAUUGUUAUUUAUUAUCUUUGUAAAUAUUGUUAGUUUUAACAACCUUUUCCCAAUUGUUAUACUCUCAUUUAUUUUGUAGCCUAAUACUGUUUUAUAAUUUCAAUACAAAAAGUUGAUCGUUGGAGUCUUUGUCUUCUUUUCCUUGGCAUUAAGAAAAAUUAAGAACACUAAAAUGAGACUCUGUUUCAGUUUUAGACUUAUCUUUUGUGAAUGCUGUGUAUUUGUGUGAUUAUAUUCCUAAGUCUCUUCUUCUUAUAACUUUGUAUGGAAUUUGAACUUGAUAGAAUUCUGCUGUUAAUUUUCAUGAGAAAUCAAUUGUCUUGUAUUUUUUAGAAUGAGCCAGGAUUCAAGAAAACUUUCCUAACUUUAUUUAAUUUCAGUAAAUACACUGGUGGUAAUAUCAGCAUUAUUGUGUAAGAACAAUUUUUAAAAUGAAUAAUUAGUGGAUGUUCUUAUCAUUCCCUGUGUCCUUGAGAAGCAGAAUUUUUAGUGUGAAAUAAGGGAUAUAUGGAUGCAAUAGGAAGAGUUUAAUUAAAAUCUCCUUAGUCUUGAAGUGUGGUUGUAUCGGUAUACAUUUAGGAAGUUGUUACUGAGUUGGUUAUUGUUUUAAUCUUUCGUGUUCGAUAAAACGAGGAUAUAUUUUUUCCCUUCCUCUUUCCACAGUAAAGUCUUAUAUGCAGUGACUAAUGCUUUAGUAAUUAGAUCCAGAUUGUGGUCUUGAAAUGUCAGUUCUCACUAAAGGAAGCCUAGGUUUAGUGGUGACAUUGCUGAGAUCUGAGACAGGAAAUACACAAGCUGAGCCUGGCAAGUCUUGUCAUAUCAAUUAGAAAGUACACUAUCAAAGGCUAUUGGAGUCAAUUCAAAAUUAUUCAAAGGCCAACUCUGCUACUCUUCCACUAACCAAAAUGAGCCACUUGAAUUUCAAUAAUUUUAAUAAUUAGAAUGGAUUGAAUAGGUCAAAUUUAGUUACAUCUAUGGGUGCAUAGUGAUAUUUGAAAAUAAUUGUCUACCUUCAGAGGAUUAUAGAAAUUAACCCAUUAGGAGUUCCUUGGUAGCUCAAUGGGUUAGGGAUCCAGCAUUGUCACUGAUGUAGCCCGGGUCACUGCUAUGGCAUGGGUUUGAUCCCUAGCCAGGGAACUUCCGCAUGCCACUGUUGCAACCAAACACCAGACAAACAAACAACAACAAAAGAAGAUUUUAACCCAAUAAAAUGAAGACUGGUGAAUAAAGGGAAAAAUUAAACAGUUAUCCUGCCAUUCUUACUAACUCUGCCAUGGAUUAACCAUACAGUGGAUGAGAGGACAUAUGUCUUUAUUGAAGUAUUCUACUAAACAAAUAAAAGUGAAAUAAAGCAUCAAAAACUCAAGCUUUUAAACCAACAACAUGUGAUUAGAUACAGACGUUAAGCUUCCAUGGCAGCUAUGAGCAUAAAAAGAGAGACAGGCGGAUGUUAUAUGUUUCCUAUAGCCUUGCCAUGUGCUAUGUAUGGUUUUCCAAAGAGAUCAAAUCUGAGUUUGAUCCAGUCUCUGGACCCAGCUGCCUGGGGCCCUGCAGGAAUGAAAGAGGACAGAGGACAGAGAAACACAUCAAACUGCAUCAUGACGGUGCAAGAAGUGAGAUCCAGACUUGGGGGGAAAUUAGAGCCUGGUUCUUCAGCUGCCAAAUUGAAGGGAAAAGGAGAUUGAAAUAAAGGGGAAUGGAUCUGUCUCUGUGCAUUGAAUGAAAAAUAAAACUCUAUAAAGACAAAUAGCUCUUCUCAAACAAAGGACUAAUCAUCUAAUUAGUUCUACCUUAAAGUCUGAGUGUUUGAUGUUAUCUAGGAAAAUCCCAUGUUCUACUACCAAUCAAGUAGUCAAAAUCACGUCCUAUUUUACUAGUCAUUUUGAAGAUAAACCACAGGAGGAAAGGGAACUCUAAAAGAACUUACAUUCCAGAAAACUCACCAAGUCUCCCUCUCCGCAGUCCUCCCCAGACUACUCCCAAUCAGAGCAAUUUGGUUAUUUUUCCACAUAGCAAUGCAGUGUGAAUAGUGGCUCACAAUAGUUGCUCCAAAUUCUGAGGAUGCUAAUUUGAAAAUAAAAAUAUGACUGCUAUUACUUGUAAUAAUAAUAAAACAAAAAUAAACAGAAAAUAAAUUCGUUAACUACCGCAAAUGCAAGAUGGGGAAAGAGACUCACAUUCUUAAUGUUUCCACAAUGAAAAUAGUACAUCCGGUUUAUUAAGGAAACUCAUGAGCAGUAAAGCAGCCAAGAGCACAUAGUCUUCCACACCUGCACUGUUCCAGGGCAGACGUGCCCUGGACACUUCUGGGGAGAACGCAGUUUCCCCUCAGUCCCUCAGAAUAGUUAUAAGGGAAGGAGGAAGUACAGCAUCUGUGUAUCAGUGGACGUGUCUUUGUCCUUAUUGGAAGGGGAGAACCUCCAGAAUUGACUACUCUUCCACUAGUUAUCCCACCACUGCCAUGCUGAAUCAUUCCUAAGCUACAGAAGAAGAGGAAGUGACCACUGGGGCCAUCCAGAAUUUUCUCUGCGUAUUCCCUAGUGCCAUGCAAGAUACAAGGCCUCACUCAGCUUCGUGACAUGCCUCAAGCCCACCCUGUCAGCCUCUUUUCUCACCCCAUCCCUUCUGCCCUUUCAACCCCAGCAUUCCAUCCAGUCAUACAAUGGGUCAGGCUAUUUUCCCGCACCUCGUCUUUAUCAUGUCAGGGGAAAUAUUUAGAGACCUUGAAAUGGGGAAAAGGUUACUGAGGGUCCUGCCCAGAUCGCCCUUUGGAGUUCUCGUCCCUUCUCAUGGUCCUGGAGGUAUUUUACAGUUCUGUGAAUUGCUGAACGCUGAUAGUAACGCCCAUGCUUCUUGUUCACACAAACGCAGAUGAACUCAGUGGAGACGCGCUUGACCACUGCCCUCUGAGUAUGGAUGAACGCUGUAUCUGCUUGUAAAGUCAUUUUAGCCUUCCCGAUGGCCGAUAUGUGUGUGUGUGGAAUUCUUUUUUGAACCAACUAUACCAUCGCACUAACUCUCUCAUUAACUAGUCAGUUAAAAUCUUAGACAUGCAUUUAUUUUGUAUUUGGGUGAGUCAUGAUUUAAGAUAUCUGAGAUACC